GAUGAACGCUGGCGGCGUGCCUAAUACAUGCAAGUCGAGCGAACAGAUAAGGAGCUUGCUCCUUUGACGUUAGCGGCGGACGGGUGAGUAACACGUGGGUAACCUACCUAUAAGACUGGAAUAACUCCGGGAAACCGGGGCUAAUGCCGGAUAACAUUUAGAACCGCAUGGUUCUAAAGUGAAAGAUGGUUUUGCUAUCACUUAUAGAUGGACCCGCGCCGUAUUAGCUAGUUGGUAAGGUAACGGCUUACCAAGGCAACGAUACGUAGCCGACCUGAGAGGGUGAUCGGCCACACUGGAACUGAGACACGGUCCAGACUCCUACGGGAGGCAGCAGUAGGGAAUCUUCCGCAAUGGGCGAAAGCCUGACGGAGCAACGCCGCGUGAGUGAUGAAGGUCUUCGGAUCGUAAAACUCUGUUAUUAGGGAAGAACAAAUGUGUAAGUAACUAUGCACGUCUUGACGGUACCUAAUCAGAAAGCCACGGCUAACUACGU
Molecule: ribosomal RNA, 496 nt
Filed under: uncultured bacterium
Lineage: Bacteria
Description: partial 16S ribosomal RNA
Rfam family: Bacterial small subunit ribosomal RNA
Source: RNAcentral